This 252-nucleotide ribosomal RNA is filed under the name uncultured bacterium. RNAcentral describes it as "partial 16S ribosomal RNA". It matches the Rfam family "Bacterial small subunit ribosomal RNA", at positions 524 to 776 of the family's 1533-position model. The record is from RNAcentral.
UACGGAGGAUGCGAGCGUUAUCCGGAUUUAUUGGGUUUAAAGGGUGCGUAGGCGGGCUUUUAAGUCAGCGGUAAAAAUUCGGGGCUCAACCCCGUCCGGCCGUUGAAACUGGGGGUCUUGAGUGGGCGAGAAGAAGGCGGAAUGCGUGGUGUAGCGGUGAAAUGCAUAGAUAUCACGCAGAACCCCGAUUGCGAAGGCAGCCUUCCGGCGCCCUACUGACGCUGAGGCACGAAAGUGCGGGGAUCGGACAGG